Non-coding RNA from Ictidomys tridecemlineatus (thirteen-lined ground squirrel), 748 nucleotides. Lineage: Eukaryota; Metazoa; Chordata; Mammalia; Rodentia; Sciuridae. The record is from RefSeq and is a predicted model, not a curated record.
ACCACGUGCUCAGGGUCUGGCCAAUGACCAGGCUGCCCAGGAUGAGCUAAUAAUGGAAGCAAUUUGUAACUUUCAGUAGCUCUCUAGGCCUGGGUACCAGUGGGAGGGAGGCGGGCGGAGUGGGGAUCUGGGUACCCCCAGUACUUCUACGGUCCUUAUUUGUCUAGGGGCACUCUGGUCCCCUGGUCCUUCUUUCCCCUAACGUGCAGGCACUAGCAGGGACCUUCAUCUACUCCUAUCUAGCCGCUGUCACACCAGAGCAAGGAAAAAGAACACAGAAUUUAUUACCUGCUUAAGGUAUGGGAGUAUUAUACUCACAAUGCACUUCCAUGCUGCACACUUUCUGAAUGGGAAGAGAAGAGGAAGAAGAUGGUGCAGGCACAGGUGAGCCCUUGAGUAAGGCCGCCAGGGGUCCACGAAAGUCCCUCUCUCCUGGUUGGCAAGGACCUUCUGCUUCCCAGCCAACACUGUUGCCAGGUGUGGCCAGCUGAGACUGAGAUACAAGUGGUGUCAUCAGAGCCUGAGGACCCUGGUGAGUUCUUUGGGAUCUCUUUUUCAUGAGCUGGACAGAAGGGCCUGCGCCUGAGGUUUGACGAGGCCAUUGAGAAGAAACCCCUAAGAGAGGGAAAGGCAAUGGCAUGAAAGGAAACAGUCCUCCACUGAGCAGGUAGAGCAGACUGACUGCACCAGGCUGCGCCCUCCGACUGUGAUGUGGUGGAUGUGAGAAUAAACUGGUUUCUAUACGCUA